This 254-nucleotide ribosomal RNA is filed under the name uncultured bacterium. RNAcentral's name for it is "partial 16S ribosomal RNA". It matches the Rfam family "Bacterial small subunit ribosomal RNA", at positions 524 to 776 of the family's 1533-position model. The record is from RNAcentral.
UACGAAGGGUGCAAGCGUUAAUCGGAAUUACUGGGCGUAAAGCGUGCGUAGACGGCCUGUUAAGUCAGUUGUGAAAGCCCCGGGCUUAACCUGGGAAUGACAACUGAUACUGGCGGGCUUGGAGUUUGAGAGAGGGUGAUGGAAUUUCUGGUGUAGCGGUGAAAUGCGUAGAGAUCAGAAGGAACAUCAGUGGCGAAGGCGGUCACCUGGCUUAAAACUGACGUUGAAGCACGAAAGCAUGGGGAGCAAACAGG